Pelobates cultripes (western spadefoot toad) is the source of this 492-nucleotide non-coding RNA. Lineage: Eukaryota; Metazoa; Chordata; Amphibia; Anura; Pelobatidae. The record is from the annotation of a GenBank genome assembly.
CCAAUCCGCCGUGUGUAGGAUAUCCGCCAGUGAGGUGCCUGCUAAAAAGGCCGACGAUGCCACUGCCCCUCGAAAGGAGUGUGCGCCAAAUGAGGCAUCUACCCCGGCUAGAGCGAGAAUCCAUCUGACCCAUCUAGCCAAUGUGGUGACCGAGACCGGGCCGUGUGGACUCACAUAUGAUACCAAAAGUUGUUGUGCGGACGGUGAGCGCAAGCCCUCCGUUGCCGACACGUAGGCUCGGAGGGCCCGGACCACACAUAGUUGGGGAUCCGAAUUGAAAAACGGAUAGAACACUGAUGUUGCAUUGGAUUUAUUACGCUGUGAUAUGUGAAACGUGACUCCUUCGGGGCCAAUGGAGAAGGCGUCCUUAUCGAAAGUCCAAACGUCAGCCACUCUCCGGAAGGAAGCCAUGCACAACAGGAAGGUGAACUUCGCCAUCAGUUGUUUCAAUGAGAGCUGUUCGUUGGGAGGCCAGUUCCUGAGAAAACGAAG